UACGGAGGGGGCUAGCGUUGUUCGGAAUUACUGGGCGUAAAGGGCGCGUAGGCGGCGCGAUAAGUUGGGCGUGAAAGGCCCGGGCUCAACCCGGGGACUGCGCUUGAUACUGUCGCGCUGGAAGGUGGGAGAGGAUGGCGGAAUUCCCAGUGUAGAGGUGAAAUUCGUAGAUAUUGGGAAGAACACCGGUGGCGAAGGCGGCCAUCUGGCCCGUAAUUGACGCUGAGGCGCGAAAGCGUGGGGAGCAAACAGG
Molecule: ribosomal RNA, 253 nt
Filed under: uncultured bacterium
Lineage: Bacteria
Description: partial 16S ribosomal RNA
Rfam family: Bacterial small subunit ribosomal RNA
Source: RNAcentral